GGCAUCAGAGGAUGAAAGCUUGAAACAAUCUUAGGACACCUUCUGACACAGCGCGUUACAUCACGUUGUGAAUGAGAAGGCAAUUCUUUUCUGAUGAUGCU
This is a non-coding RNA of Zea mays, 101 nucleotides long. Lineage: Eukaryota; Viridiplantae; Streptophyta; Magnoliopsida; Poales; Poaceae. The record is from Rfam.